RNAcentral lists this ribosomal RNA (450 nucleotides) under uncultured bacterium. RNAcentral's name for it is "partial 16S ribosomal RNA". It matches the Rfam family "Bacterial small subunit ribosomal RNA", at positions 354 to 796 of the family's 1533-position model. The record is from RNAcentral.
GUGGGGAAUCUUGCGCAAUGGGCGAAAGCCUGAUCCAGCCAUGCCGCGUGUGUGAAGAAGGUCUUCGGAUUGUAAAGCACUUUAAGUUGGGAGGAAGGGCAGUAAGUUAAUACCUUGCUGUUUUGACGUUACCGACAGAAUAAGCACCGGCUAACUUCGUGCCAGCAGCCGCGGUAAUACGAAGGGUGCAAGCGUUAAUCGGAAUUACUGGGCGUAAAGCGCGCGUAGGUGGUUUUGUAAGUUGGUGGUGAAAUCCCCGGGCUCAACCUGGGAACUGCCUCCAAAACUGCAUGACUAGAGUACGGUAGAGGGUAGUGGAAUUUCCUGUGUAGCGGUGAAAUGCGUAGAUAUAGGAAGGAACACCAGUGGCGAAGGCGACUACCUGGACUGAUACUGACACUGAGGUGCGAAAGCGUCGGGAGCAAACAGGAUUAGAAACCCGGGUAGUCC